This 492-nucleotide ribosomal RNA is filed under the name uncultured bacterium. RNAcentral's name for it is "partial 16S ribosomal RNA". It matches the Rfam family "Bacterial small subunit ribosomal RNA", at positions 29 to 507 of the family's 1533-position model. The record is from RNAcentral.
AGUGAACGCUGGCGGUAGGCCUAACACAUGCAAGUCGAACGGCAGCACAGUAAGAGCUUGCUCUUACGGGUGGCGAGUGGCGGACGGGUGAGGAAUACAUCGGAAUCUACUUUUUCGUGGGGGAUAACGUAGGGAAACUUACGCUAAUACCGCAUACGACCUACGGGUGAAAGCAGGGGAUCUUCGGACCUUGCGCGAUUGAAUGAGCCGAUGUCGGAUUAGCUAGUUGGCGGGGUAAAGGCCCACCAAGGCGGGGAUCCGUAGCUGGUCUGAGAGGAUGAUAAGCCACAUUGGAAGUGAGACACGGUCCAGACUCCUACGGGAGGCAGCAGUGGGGAAUAUUGGACAGUGGGGGCAAGCCUGAUCCAGCCAUACCGCGUGGGUGAAGAAGGCCUUCGGGUUGUAAAGCCCUUUUGUUGGGAAAGAAAAGCAGCAGGUUAAUACCCAGCUGUUCUGACGGUACCCAAAGAAUAAGCACCGGCUAACUUCGUG